Molecule: transfer RNA, 73 nt
Organism: Ipomoea nil (Japanese morning glory)
Lineage: Eukaryota; Viridiplantae; Streptophyta; Magnoliopsida; Solanales; Convolvulaceae
Rfam family: tRNA
About the family: Transfer RNA (tRNA) molecules are approximately 80 nucleotides in length.
Source: Rfam
GGGGAUGUAGCUCAGAUGGUAGAGCGCUCGCUUCGCAUGCAAGAGGUACAGGAAUCGAUACCCCGCAUCUCCA